This 81-nucleotide transfer RNA is filed under the name Candidatus Zambryskibacteria bacterium RIFCSPHIGHO2_01_FULL_52_18. RNAcentral's name for it is "tRNA-Leu". It matches the Rfam family "tRNA". From Rfam's summary of the family: Transfer RNA (tRNA) molecules are approximately 80 nucleotides in length. The record is from RNAcentral. RNAcentral also lists the same sequence under 3 other names. Lineage: Bacteria; Candidatus Zambryskiibacteriota.
GGGCGGGUGGCGAAAUGGCAGACGCGCCAGCUUUAGGAGCUGGUACCGCAAGGUGUGGAGGUUCAAGUCCUCUCCCGCCCA